AACUAUAGGAAAUAGAGGAAAAUCUACAGGCCUAUGGUGCAAAAAAUGACAACUUUAGGAAGACCAUUAGAGUGCCCUGCGGAGGGAGACUCUCUGUUCAAGUUCCCGAAGCUCUCGAUCAUGUUGUGCCUCAGCUUGCAUCUUGAUUUUGCUCUGAUAUGCAUUCAACAGCUCCAGUUCCUGCUGCAGCUGCAUCUUCAAAACCUGGCACUCUGCUUCCUGUGCUUCAUCCAAACGCAGCUGAGAGAGAAAGA
Propithecus coquereli (Coquerel's sifaka) is the source of this 254-nucleotide long non-coding RNA. RefSeq lists it as uncharacterized. Lineage: Eukaryota; Metazoa; Chordata; Mammalia; Primates; Indriidae. The transcript is spliced from 2 exons. The record is from RefSeq and is a predicted model, not a curated record.